Molecule: long non-coding RNA, 1466 nt
Filed under: Chrysemys picta bellii (western painted turtle)
Lineage: Eukaryota; Metazoa; Chordata; Testudines; Emydidae
Description: lncRNA (ENSCPBG00000002204.1)
Source: RNAcentral
GCGUUGGGGACAGGGGUGCCGGGCGGCUCUGUCCGUGGGGCACUGGGGACAGGGGCGCUGGGCAGCUCCAUUCGUGGGCGUUGGGGAUGGGGCACUAUAGAUCCUGGAGAGAUCAAAUGAAAAGUAGCUUUUCCAAAUGAAAUCUGUGUUAUAAAGGUUUUAUUUUUCUACAGCUGUCGUGGGCGGAUUGGAUCAGUGGCGUCCCCAGAUGGAUCUGCCCAGCUCAACCCUCCCUUGGCUCCCUGGCAGGAUGGUGGGAAGUCGCUUGGAGCCCAAGGUGGUUUGUCCGGGGCCAUGCAGCAAAGCCAGCAACAGAGCCGCAGCCUCACCCUGGAAAGCGACAGUAACUCCACUGCCAUGGCACGAGUGGCAUCGGGAGGAGACGGUGCGAGACUCCGGCCAGGCCUGUAUGUCUCCAGGUCCCUAUGCUCCAGCUGUGCCCCGCUUACAUUCUGCACAGCGCCUCGCUUCAGAGAUGCACCCGGGACUCCUGCAGGAUGGCACUCCGCUCCUGUGACUCGUUACUUCGUAGAAAGACCCUUUGACAGCACUGGGGCAGGACCUGGUACUCUCAGGGCCCCAAGUAAAUCUAUUUCUGGAGAGCUGGUGAAAAGAAUAGAAGCAGGUGACCCCCGUGGGAAUCAACCCGAGUGCCCGAUUCACCCGUCACCAGCAUCCGUGUAACUCCAUCAGCAGACUCCCUCCUGAUUUACACCAGUGAAGGUGAGAGGAGAAGCAGGCCCCUGGUCUACAGAGGCCAGGUAAGUCUACAAUUCCAUUUACUAGCCUUGUUCUGCAGGUGGCACCUGACCCGAAACUUGCCAGCCAGAACCACCUUUCAUUGGUCUGUCCCACAUCAUGUGAUCCGGGUUUAACUCUGAGUCACGGUCCAGUGUCAGGGUGUGAUGAUACUGCACAAUGCUACUGCAAGAGGACAUCACGAGACUAGGUCUCCGUUCAUUGAUCUGACCCGUCCGAGAGAGAAUCCAAGCAUUGACGUGGCAUUAUAGCCCCGGCAGUGUGGCUGAAUGCCAAUGGAUUCUCUUGAUCCUUUCGUCUUUAAAGGGUGAACUGUGUGUUCUGAACUGUCUUUAUCCAAACCCAAGCUCUGUGCAUGCCAGGAACAUGGAUGUGUGCCAGCAUGGGAGGUAGAGACGGAGCUCACUAUGACACUACCCUCCUGAGCCAGACUUGACGAGGUCCCUCAAAGCCCUCACGUGUCUUCCCAUCUCCUUACUUGGUGAUCCAUCUCUUGUUCUCCAUCUGCCAUCCCCUCUUUACGUAACACGGGGAAUCCAUUGCCUCAUUAUCUUCUUCACAGGCCUGCGUGUUAGUCUAGUCUCUUUGUUUUUGAUUGGUGUCUUCUUUCCCUGUACAAUACCAACAUACAUCCUCCCAUACCUCCCUGUCCAAACUUUGGAGCCGCAUAAUUUGCCACGGGUGGUUCUGCCUUUUCAGAAGAACCU